GGUGCUGCAUGGCUGUCGUCAGCUCGUGUCGUGAGAUGUUGGGUUAAGUCCCGGUUAACGACGCGCAACCCUUGUCCUUAGUUACCAGCACGUUAUGGUGGGCGACUCUAAGGAGACUGCCGGUGUUAAACCGGAGGAAGGUGGGGAUGACGUCAAGUCCUCAUGGCCUUUAUGACCAGGGCUACACACGUACUACAAUGGCCGAUACAAAGGGCAGCGACACUGCGAGGUGAAGCCAAUCCCGUAAAAUACGGUCUCAGUCCGGAUUGGAGUCUGCAACUCGACUCCAUGAAGUUGGAUUCGCUAGUAAUCGCGCAUCAGCCAUGGCGCGGUGAAUACGUUCCCGGGCCUU
RNAcentral lists this ribosomal RNA (352 nucleotides) under uncultured Desulfobulbus sp. Its description in RNAcentral is "bacterial SSU rRNA". It matches the Rfam family "Bacterial small subunit ribosomal RNA", at positions 1037 to 1382 of the family's 1533-position model. Lineage: Bacteria; Pseudomonadati; Thermodesulfobacteriota; Desulfobulbia; Desulfobulbales; Desulfobulbaceae. The record is from RNAcentral.